GUGGGGAAUCUUGCGCAAUGGGCGAAAGCCUGACGCAGCCAUGCCGCGUGAAUGAUGAAGGUCUUAGGAUUGUAAAAUUCUUUCACCGGGGACGAUAAUGACGGUACCCGGAGAAGAAGCCCCGGCUAACUUCGUGCCAGCAGCCGCGGUAAUACGAAGGGGGCUAGCGUUGCUCGGAAUUACUGGGCGUAAAGGGCGCGUAGGCGGACAGUUUAGUCAGAGGUGAAAGCCCAGGGCUCAACCUUGGAAUUGCCUUUGAUACUGGCUGUCUUGAGUACGGGAGAGGGGAGUGGAACUCCGAGUGUAGAGGUGAAAUUCGUAGAUAUUCGGAAGAACACCAGUGGCGAAGGCGACUCACUGGCCCGUUACUGACGCUGAGGCGCGAAAGCGUGGGGAGCAAACAGGAUUAGAUACCCUGGUAGUCC
Molecule: ribosomal RNA, 425 nt
Filed under: uncultured bacterium
Lineage: Bacteria
Description: partial 16S ribosomal RNA
Rfam family: Bacterial small subunit ribosomal RNA
Source: RNAcentral